AGCAGCCGCGGUAAUUCCAGCUCCAAUAGCGUAUAUUAAAGUUGUUGCAGUUAAAAAGCUCGUAGUUGAAUUUCGGGGUUAGUAGGUUGGUCAUGCCUCUGGUAUGUACUGAUCUCACUGAUUCCUCCUUCCUUACGAACCGUAAUGCCAUUAAUUUGGUGUUGCGGGGAAUUUGGACUGUUACUUUGAAAAAUUAGAGUGUUUAAAGCAGGCUAACGCUUGAAUACAUUAGCAUGGAAUAAUGAAAUAGGACGUUCGAUCUUAUUUUGUUGGUUUCUAGGAUUGACGUAAUGAUUAAUAGGGAUAGUUGGGGCAUUAGUAUUCAAUUGUCAGAGGUGAAAUUCUUGGAUUUAUUGAAGACUAACUACUGCGAAAGCAUUUUGCCAAGGAUGUUUUCAUUAAUCAAGAACGAAAGUUAGGGGAUCGAAGACGAUCAGAUACCGUCGUAGUCUUAACCAUAAACUAUGCCGAACUAGGGAUCGGAUGAUGUUAAUUUUUAAUGACUCAUUCGGCGCC
This 516-nucleotide ribosomal RNA is filed under the name uncultured Glomus. RNAcentral's name for it is "SSU rRNA". It matches the Rfam family "Eukaryotic small subunit ribosomal RNA", at positions 569 to 1087 of the family's 1831-position model. Lineage: Eukaryota; Fungi; Glomeromycota; Glomeromycetes; Glomerales; Glomeraceae. The record is from RNAcentral.